Non-coding RNA from Brachypodium distachyon (stiff brome), 135 nucleotides. The record is from Rfam. Lineage: Eukaryota; Viridiplantae; Streptophyta; Magnoliopsida; Poales; Poaceae.
CUUGUACUCCCUCCGUCCAAAAAAGGAUGUCUUAAGUUUGUCAAAAUUUGAAUGCAUCUAUACAUUAAGUCAUGUCUAGAUACAUCCAAAAUUUGACAAACUUGAGACAUCUUUUUUGGACGUAGGAAGUACAUA